Molecule: non-coding RNA, 1335 nt
Organism: Elaeis guineensis (African oil palm)
Lineage: Eukaryota; Viridiplantae; Streptophyta; Magnoliopsida; Arecales; Arecaceae
Source: RefSeq, a predicted model, not a curated record
CGAGUAUGGGCUGGGUGCACAAGCAGUGGAGGGGUGAGAAGCCCAGCUCUGUGCGCAGUUGCUCCACUGUCACACCGAGAAGUUGUGGGCCGUGGACCGCAACAUUAAAGGUGAUGGCGAGUUGUGGGUGAGUUUGAUGUGAUGCCAUUACCGGCCUUUUCGGCUCUCUCCCCCUUCCCAAGACCCUGCUUCCCACCUUUCUUGAACUGGAACCAAACCCUGGCGUGUACCCCCGCCUCCCGUAACGGAGAGGCUCGGGUUCGACCCCUUGUCAGCCACCGGCGCAAUAGGGGUGGUGAACGCGUCUGCCCAGAAUCUCAGCCUCACCAGCUUCGCCUGCUGCUCCGCCGGCGACCUUCGGAGGUUCUUGAAUCCCGGACCGAGCCACGUUGUCGCAUUGGCCAGUGGGGGUUUGUAGAAGAAGGAUUCCGAUGUUAUGGCGUAGAAGAUUGAACUAAACGGUGAUUAUUGAAUGCGAUAAUACAUCUGCUUGAGCAUUCUCUUGUGUAUGUUCUGAUUUGUAGCAGCCUUCUCAUUUUCAGUCAUCUGCCCUUUUCCAUAGUUUGGGAUAUGAAUUCAAGUGCUAUCAUUGGGAACAGUUAUGCAACUAAAUCUUGGUGAUUUUACUACUAAUCAGGCUCAUGACUCUCAAAUAUCAUGGAGAAAAAUGAUAGUGGAGCUGAGCUAGAACGUGUGGACAAAAAUGCAGUUUCAUUUGCCUUGAACUGACAAAUAAGCAUGGAUGAUCUUGCUAAAUCUUUAGAUGAGGAGAGCAAUAAGACUUACUGUUGAUGACAUUUUGCAUGCCAUUAAAGAAACUGUCGCUGCAUUUGGUGUAUCCAUGGAUGAUCUUGAACAAUGCAGUUCAGUUUAUAAGUUAGCGUUGGCUACAAACAGGAGGUACCCUCCCCCAACAUGCCAUAUUUCCCAACCCAAACCGAGCACCAGGAUCACCUUCUACAUCUAUCCAUACUUGACCCUGCAAUGCACUGCUGACCAUAUUUGCCAUCAGGAUACUUGAACCCACAACUUCCUGCAUACGAGCUGGGCGUCAAACACAUGGGAUAUGCAAUGAUGCAUGUCGCAUUAUGCUGCUGAAUGCGGUUUUCAACAUGUUGUGUGUGAUUAGUGUAAUAAGGCAAGUGAAAACGGCCGCUUGUUCGCAUGGGAAGUCAUUAUACAAGAACCACCAUAUAUCAUGUGGGUAUUGUAGGCGUGCCUUUGCUCAGGUAGCAUUUAUCAUGCUUGUGAGGGCUGGAAAGCCAAUUCGAAACUUCAUGUUGUUGGAAUCCCGUAAAUUGAUCAAAUGAAAACUUCAUGUUCUCUCAUGCAUAA